ACGGAAGGCAGCAGUGGGGAAUAUUGCACAAUGGGGGAAACCCUGAUGCAGCGACGCCGCGUGGGUGAAGAAGUAUUUCGGUAUGUAAAGCUCUAUCAGCAGGGAAGAAAAUGACGGUACCUGACUAAGAAGCCCCGGCUAACUACGUGCCAGCAGCCGCGGUAAUACGUAGGGGGCAAGCGUUAUCCGGAUUUACUGGGUGUAAAGGGAGCGUAGACGGCGAUGCAAGUCUGAUGUGAAAGCCCGGGGCUCAACCCCGGCACUGCAUUGGAAACUGUGUUGCUAGAGUGCAGGAGAGGUAAGUGGAAUUCCUAGUGUAGCGGUGAAAUGCGUAGAUAUUAGGAGGAACACCAGAGGCGAAGGCGGCUUACUGGACUGUAACUGACGUUGAGGCUCGAAAGCGUGGGGAGCAGACAGGAUUAGAUACCCUGGUA
This 434-nucleotide ribosomal RNA is filed under the name uncultured Lachnospiraceae bacterium. RNAcentral describes it as "bacterial SSU rRNA". It matches the Rfam family "Bacterial small subunit ribosomal RNA", at positions 341 to 792 of the family's 1533-position model. The record is from RNAcentral. Lineage: Bacteria; Bacillati; Bacillota; Clostridia; Lachnospirales; Lachnospiraceae.